RNAcentral lists this long non-coding RNA (256 nucleotides) under Phoenix dactylifera (date palm). RNAcentral's name for it is "long non-coding RNA (PDAC_LNC016905)". Lineage: Eukaryota; Viridiplantae; Streptophyta; Magnoliopsida; Arecales; Arecaceae. The record is from RNAcentral.
GACGAAAUUUUUUUUUUGGAGGGGAGAAUGUGAAGGCCCAUAUUUGAGUUGGGCCGGCCCUUGAGCAAGGGCGGCCCAACGAGUGCAAGGGGGAGGGAGUCUCCCGAUUGAAACACCCUCCCUCCCCUGUUUUUCGGAAUUCCUCCUCCCCCUCCUCCCGAAUCCACCGGAGGGGAGGUUAUAGGGUGAUAAAACCCUACCAAAUCAGGCCAAGGAUCUCCUCCCUCCCUUCCUAGGGCAUCAACCGAGAGCCUCC